This 216-nucleotide ribosomal RNA is filed under the name Glomeromycotina sp. Its description in RNAcentral is "partial small subunit ribosomal RNA". The stretch from base 40 to 216 matches the Rfam family "Eukaryotic small subunit ribosomal RNA", at positions 686 to 864 of the family's 1831-position model. The record is from RNAcentral. Lineage: Eukaryota; Fungi; Glomeromycota.
GGGUCAGUAGGUUGGUCGUGCCACCGGUACGUACUGGUCUCACUGAUUCCUCCUUCCUGAAGAACCGUAAUGCCAUUAAUUUGGUGUUGCGGGGGAACAGGACUGCUACUUUGAAAAAAUUAGAGUGUUUAAAGCAAGCUAACGCUUGAAUACAUUAGCAUGGAAUAAUGAAAUAGGACGAUCGAUCCUAUUUUGUUGGUUUCUAGGAUUGACGUA